Molecule: long non-coding RNA, 312 nt
Organism: Oncorhynchus masou masou (cherry salmon)
Lineage: Eukaryota; Metazoa; Chordata; Actinopteri; Salmoniformes; Salmonidae
Exons: 2
Source: RefSeq, a predicted model, not a curated record
CGACACUUAUCCUCUGACAACACCUCUGCAACCUGGACAAACACACAGAGAGACAGCCAUCCGUAGAUUGCACUACUGCUACCUGGACAGGUCGUUGGACUUCUCAUGGAAGUUGAGGUCCAGAAGCUCCCUCUGUAGGUUCUCUGUAAAGCUGUCACCCUGGAUGAAGUUCCUGAUGAGCAAGUGAGGGAAAGGGUGGCAGUCCAGCUCCAGGUCCCCUUAAGAGGAACACCAGAGGAACACUCAACGACUGGUCUACUAAUAUAAAAAAGUUUUAACACUAAUUAUGUGAAUAAAUGUAACAUUAACGAA